GGAGGUCUGGAGUUCAAGUCUCUAUGCGAGCCAGGGAAAUAUUUUUUGUUGCUUUGCCGUGUGGCGUGGUGGAGUCCUAGUAAAAUUGAAAUUUAAAGUAGUGGAGUUUUUGUGGGAGGUUAGGGAGAGAAUUAAGGUUAUGAGUAGCCAGAUUUUUAGGCAUUAGCUUUUUGUUUAGUUUUUUUUUCAAAUUUCAGACUUUUUUCCACCUUUCUGACGUUUUCUCUAUUCCCCCCCACUCUUAAUUUUUCGUUUUCCUCUUUUUUCUAAAUAAUAAAUCCUUGCUGCUGAAUUUCCUUUGAAUUCCCCUUCCGUUUUCGUUGUGUUUCUUCAUCUUUUCCCCUUUGUGCAAGCGUGCAAUUGUGUUGUACGGUAAGUUUCCGUUUUGUAAAACUCGAAUGUUACUCUAGAUAAGGGAUUAAGGGGUGUUUUGUUGACUAUUUAGGAGUCGAUCGUGAGGCUGGAAUUAACAUUCGUAGAUUUGACUCGAAGUUGUGAUCGUUUUGUAAGUGUAUAGGGUAUGUGUUUUCUUGUGUUGUUUGGUGGAGUGGUUUUGGCUUUGAAUUCAUUCUUAACUUUGUUGAACUCUUCAUUAAUGAGAAAUGGUUAUUUUUAC
Molecule: long non-coding RNA, 616 nt
Filed under: Gossypium raimondii (Peruvian cotton)
Lineage: Eukaryota; Viridiplantae; Streptophyta; Magnoliopsida; Malvales; Malvaceae
Description: long non-coding RNA (GRAI_LNC001908)
Source: RNAcentral